Long non-coding RNA from Pollicipes pollicipes, 355 nucleotides. RefSeq lists it as uncharacterized. The transcript has 3 exons. NCBI's taxonomy places the organism in Eukaryota, Metazoa, Arthropoda, Thecostraca, Pollicipedomorpha, Pollicipedidae. The record is from RefSeq and is a predicted model, not a curated record.
GCCUCCGAGCCGGCCCUGGUGGCCGCUGGUGAGGCCGGCCGCCGCGUCCACUAUUCGCAACAGCACCUGGGCACUGGCGGCGACGCGGCGGCCAGUCCGACGCAAGUGCCAUCUGUUGACGCGAGUGGCAAGCUCAGCUCCUCGGAACCGACGAUUGGACAAGCAUUACACGGCUUGUUGUCCGCCGAAAAGAGAAAGAAUCUCAACCUGACGGCCGACAUGAUUCUUUUGAAGCAAAGCAGCCUGGAAUCCGAAAUACAGAUGAAAGGCCAAUGGGAAGAGCACAUUCGAAGCCUGAUGGCCGAAAACUCCUCCCUGAGGCUUGAGGUGGAGCGGCUGCGGUCUCGGGUGCCGC